Molecule: long non-coding RNA, 612 nt
Filed under: Homo sapiens (human)
Lineage: Eukaryota; Metazoa; Chordata; Mammalia; Primates; Hominidae
Description: HSALNT0222148
Source: RNAcentral
UCUCUCUUCACCAUGUGAGGACACGGCAAGAAGGUGGCCAUCUGCAAGCCAGGUGCCUUGACCUUGGCCUUCUCAGCUUCCAGAACUAGGGAAAAUACACGUCUGUGGUUUAAGCCACCCAGUCUGUGGUGUGUCAUUACAGCAGCCUGAGCUAAGACGGAGCCUCUUUGAAAUGACGACUUUGAGGAGAGACCUGGAGAAAGUGAAGAGGGGAGCAAGUGAACGUGUGGAGGAAGAACAUUCUAGACAAAGGGGCAAAGGCCAAGGCCCUGAGCCCCCUCUCCUCCGGCUGGCCCGCACUGAGGAGAGCCCAUCAUGGGGCCCAAGGGGAGCCACUGCAAGAGGCUCGGGAAGCAACUUCUCUGGGGCCCUUGCUUUAGAGCAAUGGUCAGCAAACAGAGACAAUACUCCCAUUCCAUGGAGGCAUUAGCUGAUGUCUGGAGACAUUUUUGUGUGUCCCCACUGGGGCAGUGCUACUGACAGCUAGUAGAGGCCAGAGGUGCUGCUAAACCUGCAUUACACAGGACAGUCCCCCAAAGCAGGAAUCCCCUGAAUCAUCCGUCCCAACAUGUCGGCAGUGCCAAGACUGAGAAGACCUGCUUUAGAGACACC